GAUGAACGCUGGCGGCGUGCCUAAUACAUGCAAGUCGAGCGAACGGACGAGAAGCUUUCUUCUCUGAUGUUAUCGGCGGACGGGUGAGUAACACGUGGAUAACCUACCUAUAAGACUGGGAUAACUUCGGGAAACCGUAUCUACGACCGGAUAAUAUUUUGCACCGCAUUGUUCAAAAGUGAAAUACGGUCUUUCUUUCACUUAUAGAUGGAUCCGCGCUGCAUUAGCUAGUUGGUAAGGUAACGGCUUACCAAGGCAACGAUGCAUAGCCGACCUGAGAGGGUGGUCGGACAGACUGGCAGUGAGAAACAGUCCCGACUCCUACACGAGGAAGCAGUAGGGAAUCUUCCGCGAUGGGGGAAAGCCUGACGGAGCACCACCGCGUGAGGGAUGAAGGCCUUCGGAUCGUAAAACUAUGUUAUUAGGGAAGAACAUAUGUGUAAGUAACUGUGAACAUAUUGACGGUACCUAAUGAGAAAGCCCCGGCUAACUCCGUG
RNAcentral lists this ribosomal RNA (497 nucleotides) under uncultured bacterium. Its description in RNAcentral is "partial 16S ribosomal RNA". It matches the Rfam family "Bacterial small subunit ribosomal RNA", at positions 28 to 507 of the family's 1533-position model. The record is from RNAcentral.